RNAcentral lists this long non-coding RNA (589 nucleotides) under Mytilus galloprovincialis (Mediterranean mussel). Lineage: Eukaryota; Metazoa; Mollusca; Bivalvia; Mytilida; Mytilidae. The record is from RNAcentral.
AAAAUAUAUUUGAAUUUGAAUUUGUAUAAAGAAAACUGUCUGCUAAAUUCUGUUCUUCCCCUUGCAGCUUUCUCCUCCUCAUUUUUAUAGAAUUAUCUAAAUGUUACACCUUGUACCUUAAUAAUUGGUAGAAAAUUAUUUUUUAAUCUUCAAUGUGUUAUCUAAUAUGACAGAAUUCAGUGAAAGCUUCAUUAAUAUCUUGCUUAUAGAAUUUGACUUCAUACCUUAAUUUUAACAUGUUAUACAUAAUGCCUUGCUGGGUUGAAGAUAAAUCUUGCAUUUUAUUUAUUUUGAAGGAAUUAUGUCCCUUGUUCAUGUAUUACAAGGUUUGAGAGGUGUCAUGUGCAUUAUGCCGUUACAUCUACUUUUCUUCUUUUUUCAUUUUUAAUAAUAUUUUAUUACAUAAUUAAAUUUACAUCAUUAAAUCAUGUAAGGGUGAUCAUUGUAUCAAUAAGAUAAAAAAAAUCUGCUGGUUUAUCUUAGUUAUAAUCUGGUACCCACCCGUAUUACUUCACCACUUUUAUCAAUAUCAAGACUGUUUUCAACUGUUAUUUCUCAUUAAAUACUAUGAUACUUUGCACCUAUUGAA